Molecule: ribosomal RNA, 253 nt
Filed under: uncultured bacterium
Lineage: Bacteria
Description: partial 16S ribosomal RNA
Rfam family: Bacterial small subunit ribosomal RNA
Source: RNAcentral
UACGAAGGGGGCUAGUGUUGUUCGGAAUUACUGGGCGUAAAGCGCACGCGGGUGGAUUUAUAAGUCAGGGGUGAAAUCCCGGGGAUCAACCUCGGAAUUGCCUUUGAUACUGUCUAUCUUGAGUCCGGGAGAGGUGAGUGGAAUUCCUAGUGUAGAGGUGGAAUUCGUAGAUAUUAGGAAGAACACCAGUGGCGAAGGCGGCUCCCUGGCCCGGUACUGACGCUCAUGUGCGAAAGCGUGGGGAGCAAACAGG